RNAcentral lists this long non-coding RNA (1287 nucleotides) under Terrapene triunguis (Three-toed box turtle). RNAcentral's name for it is "Terrapene carolina triunguis (Three-toed box turtle) lncRNA (ENSTMTG00000017859.1)". Lineage: Eukaryota; Metazoa; Chordata; Testudines; Emydidae. The record is from RNAcentral.
AUGGAAAAUCUAAAUGCUGAAUUUGUUUCAAAAAGGAUUAUUGAAGAGCUACAGCAUUUGAAGCUUGAUAUUAAUUACAUCGUUGCCCAGUGCUUUGAUACAGCUUCUCUGCUGAGUGGGCAUUUAACAGAUGUACAAGCUCGCACUCAGGAAAGGAUUACACAUGCCAUUUAUGUGCACUGCCAUGCUCACAGGCUUAAUCUUGUCAUUGCAGGCACAUGUUCCAGCAUCACCCAAUGUCAGGAAGUCUUUGCGUUUGCUCAGGACCUGUACAUCUUUAGCAGUAGUUGCAGGCACCAUGAACUGUUUGUUAAGGCACAGCAAGAGCUAGGCCAGAAGGUGCUUGAGCUAGGUAGAUUAUGUGAAACUCGCUCGUGCUGGUUUGACUCCCUCCAAAAACUGCAUGCAAGAUGGAAACACUUGGGAGCCAUUUCAGUUCAGAGAGCUGAUGGCCCAUCGGCUAGCACUGGCGAGGGUUUGAUGGCAAGGCUAAAGUGCUAUUCCUUUCUGUUGAGGCUCUUGGUUUCGGGAAGAAUAUUCAAGAUUUUUAAUAAUAUUUCAGAAUUACAAAAUGAAAACCUGAAUUUAUCUAAUGCCAUGGAAUUAGUAGCAAUCAAUGUUGCUGCUCUUCAAGAAAUGAGAACAUCUGAAAGCAAAUGGAAGGAGCUAUGUGAUGAAGCUGAAAUCAUUGCCAAGGAAUUUGAAAUUGCUAUUCCGGGUCAGGCAGUCGCAACUGCUGAGCACAGCAAUACAAAAACGGCAAUAAGACCUAAAAAAAUAACCUCCAAGCUGGCCUUGUUUUUUGUUUUUAGUACACUGGGUCAGUCAUCUCCACAUGAUGUUCCCAAGAGCACGCAUGAAUCUAUAAAAUCUGAUUUUUACUAUCCUGUUUUGGACAGUAUUCUGGCAGAGCUCAAUAGACGAUGCACCUUCAACUCCAGUUUGCUUUCUGUACUAACUGCGUGUGACCCAAAGAGUGAAAAUUUUCUUGCAUAUGAGAAACUGAAAAUAAUUGCAGAUCACUAUGGAUCAACAGGCACCGAUUUUGACAGUCUGGAUGCAGAAGUCGAAGUUGCUGAGAAGCACAUUGCACCAAAAAAUGGACUUCAAUUUCUGAAUUCUGGAUGUUCUCAUGGACUUAGCAAGGGCUUUCCAGUCUUUGCUGUCUAUUGUAGAUAUUGUGUUGAGCCUUCUAGUGUCUACAGCAUCAAAUGGAGAGGUAUUUCUCUGUGCUCAGAGAGUAAAGAACUACUUAGAAUCCACAGUGGGAGACAAGCGCUUAGGUGA